Molecule: unclassified non-coding RNA, 1767 nt
Filed under: Leishmania donovani
Lineage: Eukaryota; Euglenozoa; Kinetoplastea; Trypanosomatida; Trypanosomatidae
Description: gene:LdHU3.35.1070(CDS-product:hypothetical_prote in_conserved)
Source: RNAcentral
CAGCCCCUCCAUAAGAACACAAGAGGAAAUCCAUCAGGGCGUUCCCUACGUCAAGCCUGACUGGCCUCAUUCGCUCAUACGCGCACUCAAGAUCCAAGUGCCUGUCAUGAAGCGCAGCUACCGAGACAACAAGCCCCGCUUUCACAAGCAUCGGCAGGGCAAAAUGCUCCUACCGCACAACCACCUCGCUGGAUUGUUCUUCACGGUGAACCCUCGCCAGGAGCCGCGCGCGCAGCGGGAGGCGCAGCUUUACCUGUCCACUCUCAUCUCCGACCUGGAGGCCGCGCAUGAGGCGUUCGUCAAACGCAGCCGCACAACCCCCAGCAGCGCGGACGACGACGCCGCCGGCCGCAGCAGCAACGACCAGGCCGACGUCACCGUUCCCCAGCCGUCCGCCUCGCUGUCCAGCCUUCUGGCGGCAGAGCUAGCGGCCUGUAGCGCGCACGACACCAACGGAAACAGGUUCAACACAACAAAACGGCCGCGAUCGGAGGACGAUGAGGCCGACGAGGACUCGCCAGCGGACGACGGUGCUGACAGCGAGCCAGGUAGCUGCUGCUGCCGCCGCCGCCGCCGUGACACGCCGCAUCGGCGCAGCGAAUGGUUCGCGCCACUGGAGACUGGCUGCAAAGGGUAUCUCUUCCUCAACGUCCCGACCGUGAAUGCCACCGUAACCUGCCCAACGUGCCACGCCGCCUCUAACCUCCCCGAGGCGGAAGGCGUAACGGCAGCGCCCGGGGCCGGUGGCGCAGCGCCGUCGACAACGGAGGCAGACGCGUUGCCGCCGCACACGAUUGUAGUGAACCCUCUUGUCUCCCGCAUCACUGAGCGCAUUUUCGAAGAUCUCGCCGCCAAUCCCCGGCCGAUCUUCCGCAACUGCUUCCGGCUAAUGCCGGCCGAACUGACGUGCUGUCCCACACUAGCGGAGAUGCAGACGGCGCUGCGCAAGCUGCUGUCCCUCCACUUCGCAGCAGAGACGGUCGACAGCACUGUUGCGGCAGAUGACGGGGUGGACUUUGCGCAGCGCAUUCUGCUGCCGUCCUGGGGUGCGGACCGGCCGCGCCGCUCGAUGCACACCAUUGCGCUACAGCUCACCGUCAAGAACAACACGAGCGUCGAGCAGAAGAAGGGCGCCAUUGCGUCCGCGCUCACGGCCGCGAUUCCCGCCAAUCGCUUCAUUGUUGUCGCGCAGCCGUCGCACAAGACGAAGUGCACGGUGGAGGCGACCGUCUGCAUUUUCGUGGCGCACGCAACAUGCGUCAUGGGCGUUCAGCGCCGUGUCACGGAGCGGCACAGCUUCAACCUGCACGCCGUCGGCGAGGACGCAUUUAUUUUAUCCAACGCAGUUCAAGUUUCCCCCAAGGCCGAGCAGCGCACCCUUCAGCAUGAGUAGUCAUCAUCUCGACGAGUAAAAAAUAUAUAUAAUCCGUUUUCAGCGUGGCGCUCUCUACCACAAGUCAUCACACACACCCAUGCAUACACGACGACAGCGCCCACCCACCUUCGCAGGGAUAAGGCUAAUAACGUGGCCUUCUGGGGCGAAUCGUCUGCCGCCGAACCGGGCCCUGCGCCCAACAGGCCUCCCACUGUCCUACCCCGCCCCUCCUCGGAUACGUGCCUCGCUGCCGGCGCGAGUCGGACUGCUUGGGCCGGCCGUGCCCAGAGCCCUGCGUGCGGGCGCAGGCGUCGGUUUCCGGCUGCGCGGGCCGGUGUAAGGGGGGGGGGGGUGGGGCGUCGCCUCCGCGCACCCCGGACGGGCGCGGGGGG